AACGAACGCUGGCGGCAGGCCUAACACAUGCAAGUCGAGCGGACCUUUCGGGGUCAGCGGCGGACGGGUGAGUAACGCGUGGGAAUAUGCCCUUCUCUACGGAAUAGUCCUGGGAAACUGGGGGUAAUACCGUAUACGCCCUUUGGGGGAAAGAUUUAUCGGGGAAGGAUUAGCCCGCGUUGGAUUAGGUAGUUGGUGGGGUAAUGGCCUACCAAGCCGACGAUGCAUAGCUGGUUUGAGAGGAUGAUCAGCCACACUGGGACUGAGACACGGCCCAGACUCCUACGGGAGGCAGCAGUGGGGAAUCUUAGACAAUGGGGGCAACCCUGAUCUAGCCAUGCCGCGUGAGUGAUGAAGGCCUUAGGGUUGUAAAGCUCUUUCAGCUGGGAAGAUAAUGACGGUACCAGCAGAAGAAGCCCCGGCUAACUCCGUG
Molecule: ribosomal RNA, 433 nt
Filed under: uncultured bacterium
Lineage: Bacteria
Description: partial 16S ribosomal RNA
Rfam family: Bacterial small subunit ribosomal RNA
Source: RNAcentral